RNAcentral lists this ribosomal RNA (325 nucleotides) under uncultured eukaryote. Its description in RNAcentral is "partial 18S ribosomal RNA". It matches the Rfam family "Eukaryotic small subunit ribosomal RNA", at positions 1470 to 1796 of the family's 1831-position model. The record is from RNAcentral.
CCCUUAGAUGUCCGGGGCCGCACGCGCGCUACACUGAUGCAUUCAACGAGCCUAUCCUUGACCGACAGGUCCGGGUAAUCUUUGAAUCUGCAUCGUGACGGGGAUAGAUUAUUGCAAUUAUUAAUCUUCAACGAGGAAUGCCUAGUAGGCGCAAGUCAUCAGCUUGCGUCGAUUACGUCCCUGCCCUUUGUACACACCGCCCGUCGCUCCUACCGAUUGGGUGUGCUGGUGAAAUGUUCGGAUCGGCCGUUUGUCGCGGUUUCCGCGGCUCGUGGCUGAGAAGUUCAUUAAACCCUCCCACCUAGAGGAAGGAGAAGUCGUAACA